UACAGAGGGGGCAAGCGUUGUUCGGAAUUACUGGGCGUAAAGGGCGCGUAGGCGGCCUUCUAAGUCAGACGUGAAAUCCCUCGGCUCAACCGGGGAACUGCGUCUGAGACUGGAAGGCUUGAAUCCGGGAGAGGGAUGUGGAAUUCCCAGUGUAGCGGUGAAAUGCGUAGAUAUUGGGAAGAACACCGGUGGCGUAGGCGACUAGCUGGGCUGUAACUGACGCUGAGGAACGAAAGCCAGGGGAGCGAAUGGG
Molecule: ribosomal RNA, 253 nt
Filed under: uncultured bacterium
Lineage: Bacteria
Description: partial 16S ribosomal RNA
Rfam family: Bacterial small subunit ribosomal RNA
Source: RNAcentral